UCGGCCGCAUCACUCUCUCUCUCCCAUCGAUCUCCCUCUCUUCUUCUUCCCUCUACAACCAUCGGAGAACAUCAUCUCCGGCCAUCACCUCUUAUCACCGCCACCACCCAUCAAUGCAGCAGCAAGAUGCGACCCAAACCCAAGAGAAAUCGAAGCCAUGCAUCGACCCCGACCUCUCUCUUCCGCUCUCUUUCUCUCUGCCACCACCGGAGACUCCAGCUCCGGCCACCAUCGCAUCACACCGCCUCCACCAGUCGACGCAACACCCAAACCCGACCAUAACCCAAGCCUUACCGUCGGUAUGCACCGCUGGCAGCCUCCAUGAGCAACAACCCAAGGCUGCGACGCCACUGUUGCUCGACCCUCGCCGGUUUCCAGCCAUCCCUUCACCACACUGCCACCGCCGAUCCACUCAGCAAGCAGAGCGAAGAAAAACCCAUAAACCCUCCGUCCGCCGACGGCUGACGACGCCGUUCGAGCAUCACCGGAGUUCUCGGCUCUGCAUGUCUUUGUUUUCCGACCUCCGGUCCAAAUCGAGCGAAACCACCUCCAAGGAUAGAAUCAGCACUUCAUAAUCCUCCAAAUCCCCUAGUUCUGACCUCCGAUUCCGACCAGAGCCGCCGCACGCGCCGUUGCAGGCGCGUGGACCACCGUAGCUCCGCCGCUCACAUUCGCUGAGCUUUCAGAUCGUCUCUGUUAGGACUUGAAAUCUAUGUUCGGGAGCUUUCAGAGGAAAUGAGGUCUGUGAAGUUCGGGAAUUUGGAGUUUUGGAAGGGAGGAGCUGAUGGGUCAGCUAAGUUGAUGUUGAGGAAUGGGAUCCGAAAGGUUAAAGGUGGUGGAUUGCAGCAGCGACAAAUUAGCUUCUAGUUUGAAAGAGAAGAUUGAUAAGGACUUGGUUUGGUGAUCUUGAGAUUGUUGUGGUUGAAUUGAGCAAAAUCAUGAAUUCAUGGUGAAUUGUGCAUGUUGUAAGAUGAUUGGAAAAUGGGAUUGAAUGGAGGUUGAAUUGAAGUGACUUUUUAUUUUGGGUUAAAUGCUUAAACAGUUUGGUAAUUGAGAUUGGAUCAA
Molecule: long non-coding RNA, 1065 nt
Organism: Rosa rugosa (rugosa rose)
Lineage: Eukaryota; Viridiplantae; Streptophyta; Magnoliopsida; Rosales; Rosaceae
Exons: 3
Source: RefSeq, a predicted model, not a curated record